This 251-nucleotide ribosomal RNA is filed under the name uncultured bacterium. RNAcentral describes it as "partial 16S ribosomal RNA". It matches the Rfam family "Bacterial small subunit ribosomal RNA", at positions 524 to 775 of the family's 1533-position model. The record is from RNAcentral.
UACGUAGGGUGCAAGCGUUAUCCGGAAUUAUUGGGCGUAAAGAGCUCGUAGGCGGUUUGUCACGUCUGCUGUGAAAACUGGAGGCUCACCUCCAGCCUGCAGUGGGUACGGGCAGACUAGAGUGCGGUAGGGGAGAUUGGAAUUCCUGGUGUAGCGGUGGAAUGCGCAGAUAUCAGGAGGAACACCGAUGGCGAAGGCAGGUCACUGGGCCGCAACUGACGCUGAGGAGCGAAAGCAUGGGGAGCGAACGG